RNAcentral lists this ribosomal RNA (213 nucleotides) under uncultured eukaryote. Its description in RNAcentral is "partial 18S ribosomal RNA". It matches the Rfam family "Eukaryotic small subunit ribosomal RNA", at positions 1299 to 1455 of the family's 1831-position model. The record is from RNAcentral.
UGGUGGUGUGAGUUGUCUGGUUGAUUCCGUUAACGAACGAGACCUUUGUUGUAAAAUAGGGGAAAGGAGCUUUUGCGCAAAGGCAUGGCGGUACGUGUUGGGAUCCGAGCAAUCGCCCCGGCACUCUACUGUCAUGUUGCAUAGCUACUUUCAGUUUCCCUUCUUUACGAGACAAUCAAAGAAAAAUUUAGAUGGAAGUUAUAGGCAAAACAA